Molecule: ribosomal RNA, 599 nt
Filed under: uncultured bacterium
Lineage: Bacteria
Description: bacterial SSU rRNA
Rfam family: Bacterial small subunit ribosomal RNA
Source: RNAcentral
UCGAACGCGAAAGGGCGCUUUGGUGCCCGAGUAGAGUGGCGCACGGGUGAGUAACACGUAGACAACCUGCCUUCGGGUUCGGGAUAACCUUUCGAAAGAAGGGCUAAUACCGGAUAAGACUCUCGCUUCGCAUGGAGCGGGGUUAAAAGGGGUUUCCUGCCAGGAGAGGGGUCUGCGGGACAUUAGCUUGUUGGUGGGGUAACGGCCCACCAAGGCGAUGAUGUCUAGCGGGUCUGAGAGGAUGAUCCGCCACACUGGAACUGAGAUACGGUCCAGACUCCUACGGGAGGCAGCAGUGGGGAAUUUUGCGCAAUGGGCGAAAGCCUGACGCAGCAACGCCGCGUGGGUGAAGAAGGCCUUUGGGUCGUAAAGCCCUUUUCUGGGGAAAGAGCAAAGACGGUACCCCAGGAACAAGCACCGGCUAACUCCGUGCCAGCAGCCGCGGUAAUACGGAGGGUGCAAGCGUUGUUCGGAAUUACUGGGCGUAAAGGGCGUGUAGGCGGAUGUGCAAGCUGGGGGUGAAAGGCCAGGGCUCAACCCGGGACCAUCUCCCAGAACUGCCCAUCUAGAGAGAGUCAGAGGCAGGUGGAAUUCCUGGU